This 71-nucleotide transfer RNA is filed under the name Varanus nebulosus (Clouded monitor). RNAcentral describes it as "tRNA-Leu". Lineage: Eukaryota; Metazoa; Chordata; Lepidosauria; Squamata; Varanidae. The record is from RNAcentral.
GCUUUUAAAGGAUUAUAGCUAUCCGCUGGUCUUAGGAACCACUUACCUUGGUGCAACUCCAAGUAAAAGUA